RNAcentral lists this ribosomal RNA (255 nucleotides) under uncultured bacterium. RNAcentral's name for it is "partial 16S ribosomal RNA". It matches the Rfam family "Archaeal small subunit ribosomal RNA", at positions 474 to 728 of the family's 1478-position model. The record is from RNAcentral.
UACCAGCACCCCGAGUGGUCGGGACGAUUAUUGGGCCUAAAGCAUCCGUAGCCGGUUUUACAAGUCCCCCGUUAAAUCCAGCUGCUUAACAGAUGGGCUGCGGAGGAUACUAUAAGACUAGGAGGCAGGAGAGGCAAGCGGUACUCAGUGGGUAGGGGUAAAAUCCGUUGAUCCAUUGAAGAACCACCAGUGGCGAAGGCGGCUUGCCAGAAUGCGCUCGACGGUGAGGGAUGAAAGCUGGGGGAGCAAACCGGG